This 253-nucleotide ribosomal RNA is filed under the name uncultured bacterium. Its description in RNAcentral is "partial 16S ribosomal RNA". It matches the Rfam family "Bacterial small subunit ribosomal RNA", at positions 524 to 776 of the family's 1533-position model. The record is from RNAcentral.
UACGUAGGGUGCAAGCGUUAAUCGGAAUUACUGGGCGUAAAGCGUGCGCAGGCGGUUGUUUAAGACAGGUGUGAAAUCCCCGGGCUUAACCUGGGACUGGCAUUUGUGACUGCACGGCUAGAGUGUGGCAGAGGGGGGUAGAAUUCCACGUGUAGCAGUGAAAUGCGUAGAGAUGUGGAGGAAUACCGAUGGCGAAGGCAGCCCCCUGGGAUAACACUGACGCUCAUGCACGAAAGCGUGGGGAGCAAACAGG